CAGUAGCCGCGGUAAUACGGAGGGAGCUAGCGUUGUUCGGAAUUACUGGGCGUAAAGCGCGCGUAGGCGGUUACUCAAGUCAGAGGUGAAAGCCCGGGGCUUAACCCCGGAACUGCCUUUGAAACUAGGUGACUAGAAUCUUGGAGAGGUCAGUGGAAUUCCGAGUGUAGAGGUGAAAUUCGUAGAUAUUCGGAAGAACACCAGUGGCGAAGGCGACUGACUGGACAAGUAUUGACGCUGAGGUGCGAAAGCGUGGGGAGCAAACAGGAUUAGAUACCCCAGUAGUCCCUGUCUCUUAUAC
This 301-nucleotide ribosomal RNA is filed under the name uncultured bacterium. RNAcentral's name for it is "partial 16S ribosomal RNA". It matches the Rfam family "Bacterial small subunit ribosomal RNA", at positions 509 to 807 of the family's 1533-position model. The record is from RNAcentral.